CAGUAGCCGCGGUAAUACAGAGGUCUCAAGCGUUGUUCGGAUUCAUUGGGCGUACAGGGUGCGCAGGCGGCGUGGUAAGUUGAGUGUGAAAUCCCGGAGCUUAACUCCGGAACUGCACUCAAUACUGCCAUGCUCGAGGACUGUAGAGGAGAAUGGAAUUCACGGUGUAGCAGUGAAAUGCGUAGAUAUCGUGAGGAAGACCAGUUGCGAAGGCGAUUCUCUGGGCAGUUCCUGACGCUCAUGCACGAAGGCCAGGGGAGCAAACGGGAUUAGAUACCCGGGUAGUCCCUGUCUCUUAUAC
Molecule: ribosomal RNA, 301 nt
Filed under: uncultured bacterium
Lineage: Bacteria
Description: partial 16S ribosomal RNA
Rfam family: Bacterial small subunit ribosomal RNA
Source: RNAcentral